CAGCAGCCGCGGGAAUACGAGGGGGGCAAGCGUUGUUCGGAUUUAUUGGGCGUAAAGGGUGCGUAGGCGGUUUGGCAAGUCUCGUGUGAAAUCUUCGGGCUCAACCCGAAGCCUGCACGAGAAACUACCGGGCUUGAGUAUUGGAGAGGUGAGUGGAAUUUCCGGUGUAGCGGUGAAAUGCGUAGAUAUCGGAAGGAACACCUGUGGCGAAGGCGGCUCACUGGACCAUUACUGACGCUGAGGCGCGAAAGCUAGGGGAGCAAACAGGAUUAGAUACCCCGGUAGUCCCUGUCUCUUAUAC
This 301-nucleotide ribosomal RNA is filed under the name uncultured bacterium. RNAcentral's name for it is "partial 16S ribosomal RNA". It matches the Rfam family "Bacterial small subunit ribosomal RNA", at positions 509 to 807 of the family's 1533-position model. The record is from RNAcentral.